AAUCAACGCUGGCGGCGUGCCUCAGACAUGCAAGUCGAACGCGAAAGUCCCCCUCGGGGGACAAGUAGAGUGGCGCACGGGUGAGUAACACGUAGGUAAUCUACCUUCGAGUGGGGAAUAACAAUCGGAAACGGUUGCUAAUACCGCAUAAUGCAGCGGCACCUAAUGGUGACAGUUGUUAAAGCGGGGGAUCGCAAGAUCUCGCGCCUGAAGAGGAGCCUGCGGCGGAUAGCUAGUUGGUAGGGUAAUGGCCUACCAAGGCGACGAUCCGUAGCCGGCCUGAGAGGGCGGUCGGCCACACUGACACUGACAUACGGGUCAGACUCCUACGGGAGGCAGCAGUCGGGAAUUUUGGGCAAUGGGCGAAAGCCCGACCCAGCAACGCCGCGUGAAGGAUGAAAUCCCUCGGGA
Molecule: ribosomal RNA, 411 nt
Filed under: uncultured bacterium
Lineage: Bacteria
Description: bacterial SSU rRNA
Rfam family: Bacterial small subunit ribosomal RNA
Source: RNAcentral